CUGAUGGACGUCGUAAUCCCUGCUGACGGUCCAGUUGAAUGGUCUGUAUCAACCUUUGAUAGUGAUCUUGUUUCCAUCGACGAACGGCAGAUGGAUGAAUGUAACGGCUCGGUCAUAGCCACCAGUCGUAGCAGUAGCUGUGCCAGCAAACCAUGCAGUUGUGCCAGUGCCACAGGUACUUGCACCUGUACUACCACCGGUUGCAUUUGCACCGUCGCCCAAUGCAAUCAAGGCUUCCCAAUCAUUUUUUGCAGUUUUAGGUGAGUGGAAUAUUGGGCAAGCUGUGCAGUGGGGGCAGUAAAAAAAUCCGGGCACGACUGAGCCAGGAAGCCAGAAAGUAUCUAAAAAAAAAACGGCUCCAAAGCUUGUCAUGGGGCCGGGGGGAUUUCUGUACUUUCGGGAUAUUCACCAGAAUCAAAUCAUUGAUACAAAAAUAGCUUUCUGUUACAAACACGUGUGGUGGUAGAGUGCAUUGGCUGUGAUAUCAGCAUCCGUAUCGAUGUACGCAGCAGCAUACAACUAUAGGACGUAAUUACUCGCCUCAGUGAUGGCGGGCAUAGAGGACUAGAUAUGACUGACUAAAUGUGACUAUUCCGUUGCGCCAUCUGCAGUAUAGGUGAAUUUAAACUGAUCAUUCGACAAUUCAAAUGGUUUUCCCAGCCUAGUAAAACACAUUAUUCUAUAAAUAGAGUCGAUUCGUAUACGGUUUGCGUUAACAUACGUACCCAGCAAACCCAUCUACGCUGUACCAUCUGUACUUAACGACUUUUUUAGUUCUAUUUAUCUGUUUAUUAGGUAGAUUUAGUAUUUACCUGUUUUACGUAAUUAUCCGCUUCAGUGAUGGUGGGCAUAAGCCUAGAUAUGACUGACUAAAUGUGACUAUUCCAAUGCACCAUCUGCAGUAUGGGGAAUUCAAACUAAUCAUUCGGAAAUGCAAACGAUUUUCCCAGCUUAGUAAUAGUAAACAAAUUCUAUAAAUAGAAUCGAUUCGUAAGCUGUUACUUUUGUCAACAUAAACGUGCUGAUCUAUACGCUGUACCUAUAACUGUAUAAAUUUGUAUAGCGACUUUUAUAAUCCUAUAUUUAUGCUAUUAGUACAGGAAUAGCACAGGAUAUUUUAUUAACUAACUAACGGCCAGAGAGCUAUUUUUGAAAUUGUAGAAAUGCUUGCGGGUUCAUCCAGUAUGCGGUAUUCCCACGCCGAUCCAACUUGCUUGAUUCAACUAACUAGCCAUCAAAGUUGUGCCUUAUAUAUACUGAGAGUUCCAUAAGCAACUUGGUCAGUUCCAUAAAGUGCUUCCACUUAUUUGGACCUUCAGUUGAUCAAGUCUUAGGUUUUAAGACAUAACUCGAAACAAUUGGCGCAUCGAAAGUCAGAAUUUAAAAAGAAAAUACAGGUAUUAUCAGUCAAAUUGUUUAUCCCUGAGGGUAGUACUUGUACUACCAGAAGGCAUUAAAGUAAAUGCGGGUGUCUGGGUGUGUAGGAGGGGGAGGGAUGUGGGGGGAGUGUACGGUGUUCUGGGCCAGGCUUCCAGAACCUUUAAUUCAGAAUCAGAAUAAAUUUAUAGAAAUCUAAACUACUGCAUCGAUUUUCUUCAAACUUUUUGUGUAAACUUACAGUAAUUUAUCUCAGCGGAUAGGACAACCACAACAUCAAUUCGAUUGUCUGUUUGUUUUGUUUUUGUUGCUGAUUUACCAGUUACCGAACGUCGUCAUCAUGUUGACAUGGCAAAAGACUAUACUAUGGAUUACCUUAUUCAUCAUUGUCAUUGUAAUUGUUUCGCAUAGCUAAAUGCUUCAUGAAGGGAAAAUGACCAUGAUUUUCAUGGUAGUGUAUUAAACCAUUUCUCUGAGUCACUCACUGAUUUUGUUGUGACGCCCAGUAAAAUGACCAUUAAAUGGGUUUGCUUGAUUUUCAUGGUAGUGCACUAAACCAUUUAUGUGAGUCACUCACUGAUAUCAACACCAUAUGAUGAGUAGUCAUCAUGUAAGGCUAAUGAUUAGAAGUUAGACAUGAAUAUGUAUCGUCCUCACCUAAAUUUGGAUGUGCACAUGUCUGUUUCAGAAAGAAAGUUAAGGAUAGGAGAAGAUGAGCACAUUAGCUUAGGCAUACCAGUAAUUUUGAAUCUACGUUGAUUGCAUCUGUUGGAAAAAUGGAAAUUUAUUUAACAUUUGAUUUUAACUGAAUAGUCGUAUGUGUAAUAUUUUCAAAUGCAAUCAUUGAUGUCUUAAAAUCUUCGAGAGCUGUGCCGUAUCACGACAGAAAUGUUUACCUAAAUCACAUUUUGACUUGGCAUUGUUGUAAUCAUUGUAAUUUUUC
Molecule: long non-coding RNA, 2320 nt
Filed under: Daphnia pulex (common water flea)
Lineage: Eukaryota; Metazoa; Arthropoda; Branchiopoda; Diplostraca; Daphniidae
Description: uncharacterized LOC124202080
Source: RNAcentral